Non-coding RNA from Cavia porcellus (domestic guinea pig), 1127 nucleotides. The record is from the annotation of a RefSeq genome assembly. NCBI's taxonomy places the organism in Eukaryota, Metazoa, Chordata, Mammalia, Rodentia, Caviidae.
ACUGUAGGAGUAAACUGUUCUUACAGGAAGAGGCCCAGAGGCAGGGGCUCCAGAGACUGAAAAUGAACUGUUUCUCGGGAAUUAUGAUUGUGUUAUUCUUGAAAUUUGAUGGAAGCGAGGAAGAGUCAGUGACACAAACCCAAGGCCAAGUGACCCUCUCCGAAAGAACUGCCCUCACUGUGAACUGCUCCUAUGAAACCAAAACCACACAGUACGCAGUCCUAUCCUGGUAUGUCCAGUAUCGCGAAGAAGGUCCACAGCUCCUCCUGAAAGCCACAAAGGACAAGGAGAAGGGAAGCAACAAAGGCUUUGAAGCCACAUAUGACAAAGGAAGCAGCUCCUUUCACUUGAAGAAAGCCUCAGUGCAGGCGUCAGACUCGGCUGUGUACUACUGUGCUCUGAGUGACACAGUGGCAGGAACCGCAGGGGGAGCUGAGCACAAACUCUGAGUGAUGACGAGGGAACUGGCUGCAGCUGUCUGCCUUGGGUUUUAUGGUUUAGGGGCCAGGAACAUGUCUAACAUGGUUGUUGCCUAUCAACCACAGCUGGUGCUGUGAUGGAGUAAAAUCACACAAUCCAAAGCUAAGAAAACUGCAGAAGAACAAGAGGUAAACGUGCCUCCCACAAGACAAUUUCACUAAUAAGCUUCCCUGAUAAGCUGGUGAUUUUAAGGCAAAUUUCAGCCUAAUAGAUCAUAUGGUCUGAAGGAGAGGGAAAAAAAAAAACAAGAAAGUAGGAGAAGAAUAAUGUGCAGCCUUUGACCUCAUAUAGAGAAAGAGAUGGUGCUCUUAAUAGUUUCUGUCAGGAAAACUAUGUGACAUGAACACACUGACUUUCUCCAGAUUAGGUUAGACAGGUGCACACCUGUAAAGGUUUCCGACCUCCAUCAUUUCUCAGUGAGUGGCUCUUAAUCAGCAAGACAGUCCUUGAGAGAGACAGGCAGUGUCCCCACAGGCUGGGGAAGGAAGCCACUGAGAUGACCCCUUUUCUGGACAUUGGUGGGCAGGGAAUCCCAGCACCCCAAACACCUCUCAGGCUGUUUCUCUUACUGAAGAGCAGUAACAGAUGGAGUGGGAGCCAUUGGUCAGAGUAUGAGAGAGCAGGGCUGGCAAAGAAGGACAGUUUAA